Molecule: unclassified non-coding RNA, 357 nt
Filed under: Hevea brasiliensis (rubber tree)
Lineage: Eukaryota; Viridiplantae; Streptophyta; Magnoliopsida; Malpighiales; Euphorbiaceae
Source: RNAcentral
GUCCAAGCCCCUAUUUUUCUUCUGGUGUUUUGUCGCAUUUCCCCCAUUCUCUAUUUGGGUUUGCAAGUGCUGAGUGGGAAAGGCUUCUUCGUUAAGAGAGACUCAUACACUCACUCUAAUGUUUGGACGCUGCUAUGCGGAUUUUCCUUUGAAGAUCAAUGAAGAGUUGCUGAUGAAAGGAUAGUCAACGGCGAUGGCUGAUGAAGGAAGAAGGUUGCUGAUGAAGAUGGUAUCCGGUCAUACUUGUUUAGUCUAGGGAUCCAUAUUCCUUAGGGUUUGAGUGUUUUCUAAGCUUGGAUUGAAACUAAUAUAACAAUGUAUUAUUUAGUGGCUUGAGCCUUGUAACUCUUAUUUCAU